Molecule: ribosomal RNA, 422 nt
Filed under: uncultured bacterium
Lineage: Bacteria
Description: bacterial SSU rRNA
Rfam family: Bacterial small subunit ribosomal RNA
Source: RNAcentral
UGAGGAAUAUUGGGCAAUGCCCGCAAGGGUGACCCAGCAACGCCGCGUGGAGGAUGAAUGUCGUAAGAUUGUAAACUCCUGUUAGAGGGGAAGAAUAGUACCGGUUGGACCGGUAUAUGACUGUACCCUCAGAGAAAGCCCCGGCUAACUACGUGCCAGCAGCCGCGGUAAUACGUAGGGGGCAAGCGUUGUCCGGAUUUACUGGGUGUAAAGGGCGCGCAGGCGGGAUAAAAAGUCAGUGGUGAAAUCCUACAGCUUAACUGUAGAACUGCCUUUGAUACUAUUUGUCUUGAAUAUUGCGGAGGUAAGCGGAAUAUGUCAUGUAGCGGUGAAAUGCUUAGAUAUGACAUAGAACACCAAUUGCGAAGGCAGCUUACUACACAAUCAUUGACACUGAGGCACGAAAGCGUGGGGAGCAAACA